This 207-nucleotide ribosomal RNA is filed under the name uncultured bacterium. RNAcentral describes it as "partial 16S ribosomal RNA". It matches the Rfam family "Bacterial small subunit ribosomal RNA", at positions 568 to 774 of the family's 1533-position model. The record is from RNAcentral.
CAUGUAGGCGGAUAUGCAAGCUUGGUGUGAAAGGCAGGGGCUUAACUCCUGGACUGCGUUGAGAACUGCAUAACUAGAGUAACUGAGGGGCAACCGGAAUUCCAGGUGUAGGGGUGAAAUCUGUAGAUAUCUGGAAGAACACCAAUGGCGAAGGCAGGUUACCAGCAGAUUACUGACGCUGAGGUGCGAAGGUGCGGGGGGCAAACA